AGGCCCAUUGCAUCCAUAAAUUUCUUAUGAGCCUAAGCUCUAAUGUGUGAAUUUUAAGUAUCUCGAAUGCCGUAAUCGUGAAAAGCAUUUGAGGGUAGAUUAGCGGCGGAUGGUUAUCCACCUCUAAAUUAAAGCAUUUAUUUUGAAUAGAGAUAUACUAUAGAAAAUCCAAUUCACAAGAUAAUAAAUAGUCUGAUCGAAGAAUGAGUUAAGACAGACAGAGAAAUUGACUACUCUUUUGACGUUGUUGAUCAGCGCUUGCUUCGGAUACCAAAAUUAUUUUGAGGCGCGCCCUUCUGAUAGAACUGAAACCACAUAUUAGCAUUAACCACGAGAAUCUGAGUACAAAGUGUACCACACAAAAGACACCAUGCAAAGCCAAAAGAGAGACAUUGAGACCGCACACGCAACAACACAAAUUCUUCGUUUUACUUUAGUAGCUGUGGCGACUACUUCUUGCGCAGGUCGCGGAAGUAGGACGCUGUGUUCUUCUCGAAGUCGUCCCGGAAGAUGCGCGUGUCCCUCCCAGGAGCUUUCAUGGUCCUUCUUCCGCUGGACCCGGACGAGUCGCCCAUCAGACUCGCCACGCCCAUGCCAAUGGCCAAGAUCGCCAAGCCGGCGAUCACUCCCGCAGCCGUGGUAGCGCCACUGCUUUUGCUCUCGCUCCCUCCCAUAGGGGUUCUGAUCGAUAUCAAUAUGCCUUCGGAAAUGAUAAUCUAUGAGGUCUAUCCAGCGUUCUAUGUGACUUGUUGCUUUUGGGAAGGAGUUUUUGGGUCAAUUUAUAGGGGGCUCUGGUGGGUUUGAAGUUUGGACUUGGAGUAGUCCAUUUACUCAAUGCUCUCUCUCUCUCUCUCUCUCUCUCUCUCUCUCUCUCUGUGCAAGAUGUAUGAAUCUUUCUCUCUCUCUCUGUCUGUGCAAGAUGUAUGAAUCUUUCACUGCUUAUAUUUCAGAGAUCAAAUUUCAAAUGAAAUCCCCGAUUCCCCACUCACCUCUUCAACUUUAACAUGAAAGCUGCGUAGCAUAGACUCUAUAAAGCUAUUCAAGUUGGAGGGAAUGUUUAAAAGUAGGUCGUUUUUUUAAAGGCGCUUCCGGGUUCUCACUAAUCUCAAAAGUAUUGUGUUAAAGAAGCAAUUCACUUCAAUUGGUAAAUUCGUUCCACUAAGGCCACUAAGUGUGAGAAGUCAACAGUCACGAGACUUCAGGCAUAAUUCUUGUAAAAGCAAAAAGAAAAAAAAAAAACUCUAACUUUAGACCUUAUCUCAAUAAUAUUGCCUAAACUUUUUUUUAUCUAAAAAGAAACCCAACUUUAAGUCCAAUCCCUAAUAUACCCCGAUUUCUUUUUUGUCGAAGAGAAAAUCAUCAAUUUUUACUCUAUUCCUAAUUCCUAAAUCUGCCCCUAGUAACUCUCUAUUCAAAAAUUGCAAUAAAUUGUCCCAAAUUUUCAUAUUCUAAAACGGUUUGAUUGUGAAUAUAAUUUUCCAAUUGAUGUGGAUGUAUUUUCAACGUGAAACCGCCACAUCAAGUUAGGACUAGACCAUGAGAAUAGAUUUGAGAAUAAGUUAAAGGUUUGUGAUUUUUUUUAAGACAAAACAAAAUUUAGGACAAAUUUGAAAUCAAAGCUAAAGUUUUGAGGUUUUUCGGAGACAAGAAAAAACUCAUGAUAGUUUUGGCACUUAAAAUUUGGGAUGGUUCUUAUGCUUGGGGGGGGGGGGGGGGGGGUUGGUGUGGUUUGUAAGGGAGAGUCCAAAACUGCAAACUGCAACAAGGAUAGCAAGUUCACUCCAGACACUAUACAUCAGCAAUUGAAAAGCACCCACAGGAGUGGGAAAACAUGCAUAUUUACAAAUAUUAUCGAUCCAACAUCUAGUAAACAACCACGAUGGAAAGUUCCUCCAAGUCUUUGAUCAUGUUGGUUUCUGCAGAUCCUCCUCAUCCUCCUCAUCCUGCAGAUUUCCAUCGAUUAGUUGCCAUCAAGAAUCAAAGUCCGGGGAAAGAUCGUUGACCGAAAGAAAAACCACAUUUCGACGGGAAAGGAAGCUGAGAUACCAAGAUAGACUUACCAGACUGUCGAUCUUAUUAAAAUCAUCAGCAAAGCUCCCUUCACCAUCAUCCAGAAGACCAGAAAAAAGGUUAACAAAUGAAUGAUUGCGUAUGGAUCUAUUAGAAGACUUGCACAACAAAUUCACCAACACAUCUGCACUCCCCCUUAGAUGGACAAGCAGCUUAGAUAAAUAUAUGAACAUAUAAACAUUUGCAUAUGUCAGCAUGGAGGGGGUGGGAGCUCCUGCCACGCUCUAUAUAGAGCAUCAACCCACGCUACACGCAUGUUUCCUACACUACGAACAUUUGCAUACGUCAGCAUGGCGGGGGUGGGGGCUCAUGCCUCUCUCUCUCUCUCCUCCCACAUUCGCAGUCGAAUACAUGUAAAUUUGUGAGAAUAACCAUAUAUAAAAAUCAACAGUACAUCCACGCAUUAUAUUGGUCCCAUGAGUGGGCGUACCUAUGAUGAGUAGCUUGAUUCUGUAUCGACAUUUACUAAGGCAUCGUUAACCAGCUCAAGUGAACAAGCUACAAACCCGAAUAUUAAGAAAGAAAUGCUGUAAAACACAGUCAAUCGGCUAGCCCAAUCAGCCGAGUCCAGAUCUGCAUUUGGUGUGUUCAAUAAAACUCAUAUAGAACCCUGACUGAAGUGGGACUUAAUAAAUCUGAAUCAGCCAAGUUUGUGAAGGUUUAACACUCGAUCGGUGUUUACAGAUGAAAAAGAACAUCAAGGCGCUGUGGGUGAGUCGCCAACUUUAUAUGUCAGCAUUACAGGCAACACUUGCCAUACGCUGACCAUUUGAGGCACAACACUUAGUUUUCUUAUGUUUGCGAAUCUCUACUAAUUGUAAAACAGAUCUGGCAGCUGAACUGGUUGGACAGAUCGACAUCACUUAAGCAUUUAGCGUAUUGACCCACUUAUGAAGUGAUUUACUUUUAAGGGAAUUGAGCACGCUAAAACAAUCAUCUCCUUGCAAUAAAAUUGUUUAAUGGGUCUUUUAUCAAGUUCAUUCUGUUUGCAUAAAAAGAAGAGAGAGGCGUGCCACUGUUUGAGACCAAUUAUAUGUCCCGGGGAAAAAAAUACAACUAUCUUUAGCUUCUUAGACCUUAAAACACAAAAUGAAGGAUAGAAGAUUUCUUUCGCAUUUCCAAUCAAUACUCUUGUAGGGAUACUCUGCAGCGGGACACAUUUAACAACAUAAAAUAUUUCAUAACCUUUAGCAAUGUACGGAGACUAGAUGUCUGAGUUCAAAACACAAAGGCUUUCAAGGCAACGCAAUAAACAACCUAAAAAAAAGAGAAAAAAGAAAAGUCUACGGCGAGAUUCAAUCAUCCCUGAAAGGGCUUGCCCUAGAUCAAGCCUUCUUGAAUUUCUAGUUAAUCACGUGUAAAAGAGCUCUAAUUUCGUUGUGCUAACUUAAUCCAUUAGGCUCAUCGAUAAUGAAUCAGCUUGUAUAAGUUGAUAAAUUUCACAUUAUAGAGGUUUGAGGGGGAAAAGAAUCCUUUUGAAUUAUGUGAUGUUUACAAAGUGAAUUAAAUCUGCAGAUCAUGCACUAAACUAUCGACUAUGCGAAUUUAUUGACAACGACAGUAUAUGAAAAACAAGAUCAUAGUUUCUAUGUCAAUUUUGUGGACUUCGCUAUAUCUCUCCUUUUUUUUUUUUGGCCAAAAUGACAGGACCUCAUCGAACUGCAGAAACAUGAAGGAAUAUUAACAUCAGCAAAUCAACAAUAAUAUCACACUCAAAUAAGAGUUGGUAAUUCUUUUUUUUUCUUGGUCGAAAGAGUUGGUAAUUUAAAACUAGUUAAUCUAACAAAAGUUGAUAAGUAUUCUAAUGUAGGUUAGAUAAAAGCAUAGCAAUUAUCCCAGUUUUCUUUUUUUCCCUUUUCGAACAUUUGAUCCGACGCGUCCUAUGAUUCUUGCAGACCACCGUUUCAAGAGCUCAAGUGACAAUUAUAUCCACAAUCUUACAUGAGAUGUAAGUGGAAAGUAGAACACGAAGGAGUUGUGAGAUCAAGAGGAUGAAAAGUAUAAUAGAAACGAGAGCAAAUAAAACCACAGUUUGUUGUCGGUGACCGAAGAUAGAGAGGGAUUGCUUGAUUUUGGUUUAGGUUGGAGACCACACAUUUGAUCAAAUAAUGGGGACGUGAGUCCUUGAAUUGUCCGAAAUGCUUUAGCCGAAACGAUAGCUUACUCAUGUACAAUUCCCAUUUUCUGUCUCAAUCCACAUCAACUAAAAAAAGAAAUCCUAAUAAUAAUCACCCUUCUCUCUCCCUUCUGCCUCAGACCGUGCCUUCGUCCUCACGGCCGAUCGGGCUACCCCGUGCAUGCAUGUAAAAUCUCCUUGAGUGUGUCGAACCAGUCCCAACAAAAGAUGGUAUCCGAAACAACGCGUUCACUGGAAACUUCGAAAAAGAUGACCCCCAUUCAAAUUGGUUUAAUUUCCUGAGGAACGGGAAAAACGUUGGCUUCAAUUUUACCUAAAACGUCUCUUUGAAUUCUAACUCGGUGCUAGCUGCUUUUAUUAGUGCCCUAGUAAUAAGUUCGGCGGCCCUGAACCGGUUCGGAUGAAGAUUAACCCUAAUCUUCGAUGACCCAGGAACCUUGGGAGCAAGAGCAAAGGUGGUGGGAGAUGAAGAGUUCCAUAGUAUACUCGAUGCUUUGGUUGAGAGAUAAGUUCUUGGAUUGUUGAUAUCGGAUUUCGUGUCUUUGCUUGAAUAAUGAUCAGCGAAUAUUUGGAAAAUUACAUCUUUUCUUUCUCUAUUUUUUCCCUCUUAAGGGUUAGAGUGUUGCCUCCGCCCCCCUUUGGAAUGCUGAGUUGGAUUUUUCCUCAACCCAUUUUGUGACACCUCCUGCCAUGGAACAAGUAGGUCCUACUAAUUAACGUCAAGUCAAUACAUACAAUAUUCAAAUCUCUAGCAUACAUCGGAUGGGAGGGAUUGUGUCAAGUGAUAUAUGAAUCAACACCUAUUCUUAAAUGGUCACUAUCUUUUGUGGUUAUUUUUAGUACUUCAUUUGAGGGCGAAUUCACAUAGAACAGACUAAAUCAUUAUUGAAUUUGUUCCGUAUGCAAAUCACAACUUUUUUCUAAAUUAGGGCGAUUGUUAUUAUAGUACAAAGGGAGACUAACGUGACUUCAAAAUGAAAUUUGGGAAAGAAUAAGAGUAUAGGAAACUAGGAAUGAUUCAUUGCGGAACAAUGCACUUUCUUCAGCUUCAACAUCAAUAAAAAUAUGAUAAAAGAUGGUGUGAAUUCAAGUGCUAGAGACUUCAACGUGGGGUAAUCUACCAUUUCACUAUGGGACUAAUGGGGUUGCAUCCAUUAAUUUCUUUCAGGCCUAAGCUCUGAUAUGUAAAUUUUAAAUAUCUUGAAUGCUCUAAUGGCGAAAAGUAUUUGACGGUAGAUUAGGGGCGGAUAUUUAUCCACCUUUAAAUUGAAGUAUUUAUUCGAUUUUCUUUUUUUUUGUAGAGAUACUAUAGAAAAUCCAAUUCAUACAUCAAAAAAUGACUGAUCCUUUGAUUAAGUUGAUCAGCACUUGCUUCAGAUGCCAAAAUGAUUUUCGGGCGCACCCUUCUGAUUGAAUUGAAACUACAUACUAGCCUUAACCACGAGAAUCGAGUACGAAACGUACCACAUAAAGAAACCAUGCAAAGCCAAAAGAGAGACAUCAAGACCACACCCAACUACACGAAUUCCUCGUUUUACUUCAGUAGCUAUGGCGAUUACUUCUUGCGCAGGUUGCGGAAGUAGGACGC
This 5795-nucleotide long non-coding RNA is filed under the name Eucalyptus grandis. RNAcentral's name for it is "long non-coding RNA (EGRA_LNC004406)". Lineage: Eukaryota; Viridiplantae; Streptophyta; Magnoliopsida; Myrtales; Myrtaceae. The record is from RNAcentral.